AGUGAACGCUGGCGGCAGGCCUAAUACAUGCAAGUCGAACGGCAGCACAGCAGAGCUUGCUCUGUGGGUGGCGAGUGGCGGACGGGUGAGGAAUACAUGGGAAUCUGCCCAGUCGUGGGGGAUAACGUAUGGAAACGUACGCUAAUACCGCAUGCGCCCUACGGGGGAAAGCCGGGGACCGCAAGGCCUGGCGCGAUUGGAUGAGCCCAUGUUCGAUUAGCUAGUUGGCGGGGUAAAGGCCCACCAAGGCGACGAUCGAUAGCUGGUCUGAGAGGAUGAUCAGCCACACUGGAACUGAGACACGGUCCAGACUCCUACGGGAGGCAGCAGUGGGGAAUUUUGGACAAUGGGGGCAACCCUGAUCCAGCCAUGCCGCGUGAGUGAAGAAGGCCCUCGGGUUGUAAAGCUCUUUUGUCCGGAAAGAAAGCAAUCGGUUAAUACCCGGUUGUUCUGACGGUACCGGAAGAAUAAGCACCGGCUAACUUCGUGCCAGC
Molecule: ribosomal RNA, 494 nt
Filed under: uncultured bacterium
Lineage: Bacteria
Description: bacterial SSU rRNA
Rfam family: Bacterial small subunit ribosomal RNA
Source: RNAcentral